UUCUGUUAAGGGCACAGGGAGACAAGUUGGGUGGCAAUUUUACAUGUCCCACCAGUGCUUCUCUACAGCUCUUCCAAUUCCUGUGGAGACAGACAAGUAUGCAUCUCUGUCACUGCUGUGAAAGAGGAGAUUCUUCUGCUCACCCAGGACAGAUCUUAGUACUAAUUGCUAAAAUGGUAUGACUGAGGUGGAUCAUCAGAUUGGCAAGGAUGUCUCCCUACCUGGAGGAUAAUUAGCAACAAUCAGGGCACUCACUAUUCAGAAAAAGAAUCCUCUACCUCUCACAAGAACCAUGGAGAAUGUUUCCCAACAAUAUGGAACGAUUUGUGAAAUGAUGACAU
Molecule: long non-coding RNA, 341 nt
Organism: Suricata suricatta (meerkat)
Lineage: Eukaryota; Metazoa; Chordata; Mammalia; Carnivora; Herpestidae
Exons: 3
Source: RefSeq, a predicted model, not a curated record